Molecule: ribosomal RNA, 380 nt
Filed under: Otocrania sp. WS126
Lineage: Eukaryota; Metazoa; Arthropoda; Insecta; Phasmatodea; Phasmatidae
Description: partial 12S ribosomal RNA
Source: RNAcentral
UAAACUAGGAUUAGAUACCCUAUUAUUUUACUUAUUAGAUUUAAGGGUAGUAUUAGUUAUGUUCUUGAAACCCAAAGAAUUUGGCGGUAUUUUAGUCUAUUUAGAGGAAUUUGCCCCGUUAUCGAUAAUCCUCGUUUUAUCUUACUUAUUUUUGUUUAUCAGUAUGUAUACUUCCGUUACAAGUUUAUUUUUAUAGAAUAUUUACUUAAUAAUUUAUUUAUUAAUAUUUCAGGUCAAUGUGCAGCUAAUAAUUAAGUGGAGGUGAAUUACAUUAUUUUAAUAAAUGGAUUUUUAACUGAAAAGUUUAAUUGAAAGUGGAUUUAAUAGUAAUUUUGUUAAUAAUAGUAAUUUGAUUUUAGCUCUAAAAUGAGUACACAUCG